This 71-nucleotide transfer RNA is filed under the name Candidatus Omnitrophota bacterium. RNAcentral describes it as "tRNA-Gly". It matches the Rfam family "tRNA". From Rfam's summary of the family: Transfer RNA (tRNA) molecules are approximately 80 nucleotides in length. Their secondary structure includes four short double-helical elements and three loops (D, anti-codon, and T loops). The record is from RNAcentral. Lineage: Bacteria; Pseudomonadati; Candidatus Omnitrophota.
GCGAGCGUAGUUCAAUGGUAGAACGCCAGCUUCCCAAGCUGGCAGCGUGGGUUCGAUUCCCAUCGCUCGCU